UACGGAGGGAGCUAGCGUUGUUCGGAAUUACUGGGCGUAAAGCGCACGUAGGCGGCUUUGUAAGUUAGAGGUGAAAGCCCGGGGCUCAACCCCGGAAUUGCCUUUAAGACUGCAUCGCUUGAAUCCGGGAGAGGUGAGUGGAAUUCCGAGUGUAGAGGUGAAAUUCGUAGAUAUUCGGAAGAACACCAGUGGCGAAGGCGGCUCACUGGACCGGUAUUGACGCUGAGGUGCGAAAGCGUGGGGAGCAAACAGGAUAGAAACC
This 262-nucleotide ribosomal RNA is filed under the name uncultured bacterium. Its description in RNAcentral is "partial 16S ribosomal RNA". It matches the Rfam family "Bacterial small subunit ribosomal RNA", at positions 524 to 786 of the family's 1533-position model. The record is from RNAcentral.